ACGCGAGGAACCUUACCCGGGCUUGAACUGCAGAGGAAGGAUCUAGAGAUAGUGACGCCCUUCGGGGCCUCUGUGGAGGUGCUGCAUGGUUGUCGUCAGCUCGUGCCGUGAGGUGUCGGCUUAAGUGCCAUAACGAGCGCAACCCCUUUCGCCAGUUGCCAUCAGGUGAUGCUGGGCACUCCGGCGACACUGCCACCGCAAGGUGUGAGGAAGGUGGGGAUGACGUCAAAUCAGCACGGCCCUUACGUCCGGGGCUACACACGUGUUACAAUGGGUGGUACAGAGAGUCAGGUGCCGGCAACGUCGCCUCAGUCAAUAAAGCCAUCCUCAGUUCGGAUUGGGGUCUGCAACCCGACCCCAUGAAGCUGGAUUCGCUAGUAAUCGCGCAUCAGCCAUGGCGCGGUGAAUGCGUUCCCGGGUCUUGUACACACCG
This 433-nucleotide ribosomal RNA is filed under the name uncultured rumen bacterium. RNAcentral describes it as "bacterial SSU rRNA". It matches the Rfam family "Bacterial small subunit ribosomal RNA", at positions 959 to 1392 of the family's 1533-position model. The record is from RNAcentral.